UUUUAAUUCCUCUCUUUGAAUUAACAUCAUAUGCUGCACCCCUUUUAUUAAUUUAUUAAUUGUUGUUCUUGUUGGGGGAAAAAGGUUCAUGCUUUGAUGGUGGACAAUGUCUAGGGUGUGAAAGUGAAACUACUUUCACACCCUACGAAAGUUUGGACAAUUAAAAAAAUAAGCAAUUUGAACCGUCCGAUUAGUUAAUAAGAAAUCCAACGAUCUCAAUGUGUUAGUGGCUACCAGUAGUAAAUGGAUGCCUCGAGUUGUGUGUCUGCUUUCCCCGAGUCGCGAUUGAAGCUAUGGAGCCCUGGAGUUCUGUUGUGCUUUUUCCAGCAUACAGUACCAUAGCUCGCGAUUUAGCGAUUGCUGCGAUUGAAGUUGAGGAGCCGUGGAGUUGUGUGUGAGGUUUCCCUGUUUCGCCAUUGAAGGUUAGCCCAACAUACCCUGACAGAGGUUGGGAUUGAAGCAGAGGUUGUUUCCCUUCAGUACGAUUGAGUAAAGCAGUAGAGCAUUGUCUUUGUCGUGGUAAAACGAUCAAAGCACAGCGUUGAGUAGGAUUCGAACGGAGGAUGAAAGAAAGGCCAGGUUGGUGGAGGUUCAGGGGCAGAUCCGCAACGAACGUUCAGCCCUUCGUCCUACGACAUCAAUAAGCUGGAGAAAAGUAUGGCUUAGGCGAUUAUAGUUUUCAUUUUGCAUGUUAGUUUUUGUUUGUUUCGGACUUGGUUUGCGACGGUAUUGUCGCAGACCUCGGUCGAUUUUUGUUGUUACGGUUUUAGUUUGGUUGAGUUGUCCCUUAAAUUGAAGUGGUUGUUAUUAUGGUUUUUUGAAUGAUGUUCGUUUUGCAAAUUGUGUUGCCUGAAUGUUGUAAUAUGUUGUGUGUUGUCUUGUUGUUAAGUGUUGUAGUUUUGAACAUGCAUUGUUUUUGUGUGACCAGUUGUAUUGCAGUAUAUGUGGUAGUUUGCAAGGUCCGGAUUGUCGUAAGUAUAUGACACCUUGAAAGAGUAAAUUAGGUAUUUGCUGAAAGUAGAAUUAUGUUUAGAAUGACAUCCAAAGAAGAAGGCUGAAGUGGUCAAGUAUAAGUGUACAUCCAUAAGAAAAAUGAAAUAUUAAAUUGACUGUGACAAAGUUGACCCUUCGUUGGUUGUCUAAUAACAAAGUUGACCCUUUGAAGGAAAUGAAGAAACAAAAAUAACAUUUCUUUGAUAUUAUGUUUUGGUAGAAGAUGUGUAAGGUUUGAUGAUGUUAUUUUUUGAGUUUUACAUGCCUAAACAUGAUGUGGAAAAUAUUAAAGAUAAAGAUCAUAACAGAGGAUCUGUGUGAUUAUAGCCAUAGAAUAAGAAAAUACAUGUUUCGUUACUGUGGCAUUUGUGUGCCAGGUUCGUAGUCCAGUCAAUGUGAUGUUAAGUGCAUUAUGUAGUGUAGUUGAACAAAGACGUGUUAAUGAUAGAGAAAUUACGGUGUUUGAAAUGCAUGAAGUAGGUGAUGUAUGUAUUUGAUAUAUUUUAAAAUGUGUUCGGGUGUAGGAUUUGGAUGAUAUAAUGUCAGAGUUGGAAAGUAGUCAAAAUUUUUCUAGCUUCGUGAAUGGUGAUGGUGACAAUGAUGUUACUGAAGUGUAUGAAAAUGAUGAAGACAACCAACAUGACGUCGGACUAGAAGAUGAGGAGGAGGUGGAUUCGAAGGUACAGAAUGACGAUGAUGGAGGUUAAGAUGAUUUUUGGAUUCCAGGUUUGUUGAAAGAGGAAUGUAUAAGUAUUGAUAGUAUGGUAGAUAUUAGACAAUUUGACAUGGAACAAAUUAGCGAUGAUGUUGUCCCCAGGUUGAAUUUUGGUGAUUUGGAGUUAGCGUAUGAGUUCUAUUGUUGGUAUGCUAAAAUUAGUGGUUUUUCUGUAAGGAAGAGUCAUAUUGUUAGAAACACAUGUAUGGAAACACUGCAACAAACAUUUGUUUGUUCAUAUGCUGGUUAUAGGAGAGUUUCAACAUCAGAUAGAAGGAUACAACGAGAAAAAAAAGAAAGCAGGUGUGGUUGUGAAGCAAUGUUUCGUGUUCAUGUGCAUUUUCGUACGGGACGAUGAUAUGUGACAUGUUGGAAUUUUGACCACAAUCAUUUAUUAUUGGACCUAGAAUUGUCAUGCUUGUUGCCAGGACAUAGGAAGAUGUCCGCAUCUGAUAUUAUGCAAGUUGAAAACUAUAGAAAAGUUGGCAUUAGACCUCCGCACAUGUAUGCAACAUUUACCAAUCAAUGUGGUGGAUACGACAAGGUCGGGUUUAUCAGGAAAAAUAUGUACAAUGAAGUAGGGCGCAUGAGGAAGCAACAUACUUCAGAUGCAAGGGGUGCAUUGAAAUAUUUAUAUGAUUUACGCAAGAAAGAUCCAAUGAUGUAUGUUUCCUACACCGUGGAUGGAGGGUCAAAGACUACAACGGUUGUUUUGGUGUGAUACUGAGAGCCAAUUGCUUUAUGAGGUAUUUGGUGACGUUCUGGCAUUUGAUGCCACUUAUAAGAAAAAUAAGUAUUUGUGCCCUUUUGUUGUUUUCUCUGGUGUGAACCACCAUAAUCAGACAAUAGUUUUUGCUCCUGCUAUUGUCACUGAUGAGACGGAAGAAACAUAUGUUUGGUUGUUAGAACAAUUGUUGGUAGCAAUUAAAGGAAAAGAUCCCUGUUCAAUAAUAGCUGAUGGUGAUUUGGCUAUGAGAAAUGCUAUAAGAAGAGUCAUGCCAGGUGUUUUUCACAGAUUGUGUGCAUGGCACUUAUUGCGUAAUGCAUUGAGCCAUGUUCGAGAUAAACAAGUUUUGAAAUGGUUGAAGAACCUAAUGCUUGGUGAUUUUGAAGUGGUCGAAUUCGAAGAAAAGUGGAAUAAGAUGGUUGCUACGUUUGAAUUGGAAGACAAUACUUGGAUUGCUGAACUGUAUGAAAAAAGGAUGAAGUGGUCUCCCGCCCAUUUGAGGGGUUAUUUUUUUGCGGGCAUACGGAUAACAUCUCAUUGUGAAGCCUUCCAUGCACAUGUUGCAAAAUAUGUUCAUUCAUGCACUAAUUUAACCGAUUUUGUAGAACAAUUUCAAAGGUGCCUGCCAUAUUUUCGAUAUAGAGUGGUUGUGGCAGAUUAUUCGUCAACAUACGGGAAUGAAGUUUUGCAAACAAAUCUUCGAUCUCUUGAGCAGUCUGGUGAUGAUUUGCUUACUAAGGAGAUGUUUAAACUUUUUUAGUCGUAUCUAUCUAGGACUAUUAAGCUAAGAGUCAUUAAUUGUAAAGAGAUGGUGACGUUUUCAGUUUAUUGGGUUGUGAAGUACUGUAGUGGAAGUGUUUGGCGUGUGUCGUAUUGCCCAUCGAUGGUUGACUUUACAUGUAGUUGUAUGAGAAUGCAUUCCAUUGGUCUUCCUUGCGAUCACAUAUUGGCUGUGUUGGUUUCUUUAAAUUUUAUGGAGUUGCCAAGUAGUUUGGUUUUGAAUAGGUGGUCCAAAGUUGCGACAGAAAAUAUCAAAGACAAAUAUCCCGAUUCGGCAAUCUAUUGGGAUUCCCAAUUGAUGGCCAGGUAUGCCACUUUGGUUGAAGUUUCUAGACAAUUUUGCGUAGCUGCAUACCGUGAUGAAGAGGAGUAUGACAAAAUGUUGCAUUUCCUAUCCAAUGAGGCUAGAAGGCUUAAGUCGAAGUGAAACAGCGAACAUUGUGUUGAUGAUAAUGAUGAGCAACAACAACAUGGUGAUGAUUUUGAUGGUAUUUUAGACCCUGUUGUGGUUCGAAGUAAAGGAUGCGGACAGGUCAGAAUGGAUGACUCUAGCAGACAAAGGAGAAUCCAAAAGUGUGGGCAAUGUGGUUUAAUUGGCCACAAUAAGCGUUCUUGCACCAACCAUACUCGAAAUGGAAAUGCUUCUUUUGGUGCUUCAUCCAGUGAACAAACUAACAGUAUGUUGCAACCUACACAUGAAAAUAACAAUGAAGUGGUAAUGAAGCAGUUGUUUGGCACAAUUUGUUUUUCAAUUUUUAUGUUAUGCAGUUAAUGAUUAGAAUUUGUUUUUUUUGUUAAUGUUGGAGUUCAUGCAGCAGCCGCAAACAUUUGUUGCUGGUAGUAGCCGUCUCGGUCCCUAAUUAUAUUUAUGUUGUGUUGCAGAAGUUGAUCGGAUUAUCGACUUGAAAGUAACUUGUGCAAGCAUUAACCAAUUAUAUUGAAUGUUGAUACCGCAUGACGUUGUAUGUCAUCCAUUUUUUUACUGAAAGAGCCGGUUAUAGUUGGUGGUUCGUUUUUAUUUUUGUGAAAGUUGGUGAACGAAGUGUGGAUUAUAAUUUGAUUUAUUAAAUAAGCGUCAUCAUUGAUCCACUUGGUAACCAAA
Glycine soja is the source of this 4317-nucleotide long non-coding RNA. RefSeq lists it as uncharacterized. The record is from RefSeq and is a predicted model, not a curated record. The transcript is spliced from 2 exons. Lineage: Eukaryota; Viridiplantae; Streptophyta; Magnoliopsida; Fabales; Fabaceae.